GAUGAACGCUGGCGGCGUGCCUAAUACAUGCAAGUCGAGCGAACAGAUGAGGAGCUUGCUCCUCUGACGUUAGCGGCGGACGGGUGAGUAACACGUGGAUAACCUACCUAUAAGACUGGGAUAACUACGGGAAACCGGAGCUAAUACCGGAUAAUAUAUUGAACCGCAUGGUUCAAUAGUGAAAGACGGUUUUGCUGUCACUUAUAGAUGGAUCCGCGCCGCAUUAGCUAGUUGGUAAGGUAACGGCUUACCAAGGCAACGAUGCGUAGCCGACCUGAGAGGGUGACCGGCCACACUGGAACUGAGACACGGUCCAGACUCCUACGGGAGGCAGCAGUAGGGAAUCUUCCGCAAUGGGCGAAAGCCUGACGGAGCAACGCCGCGUGAGUGAUGAAGGUCUUCGGAUCGUAAAACUCUGUUAUUAGGGAAGAACAAAUGUGUAAGUAACUAUGCACGUCUUGACGGUACCUAAUCAGAAAGCCACGGCUAACUACGUG
RNAcentral lists this ribosomal RNA (497 nucleotides) under uncultured bacterium. RNAcentral describes it as "partial 16S ribosomal RNA". It matches the Rfam family "Bacterial small subunit ribosomal RNA", at positions 28 to 507 of the family's 1533-position model. The record is from RNAcentral.